RNAcentral lists this long non-coding RNA (1735 nucleotides) under Podarcis lilfordi (Lilford's wall lizard). Lineage: Eukaryota; Metazoa; Chordata; Lepidosauria; Squamata; Lacertidae. The record is from RNAcentral.
ACUUCCGGAGGCGGCGCCAACAGUAAUGGCGAUCUCCUCAUAACUCUCGAGGAGAGGCUCCGCGAAAACUGGGUCGAUCCGCUACGGCGCAGCGGAGACCCUUCCGAAACCCGCAGGCGGAGGAAGCCUGCGGUCGUGGGACUCGGCGGGUGCCUGGAGCGCGCCCCUAAACAGCGCAGGAACCCCGUAAGGGGCUCCGAAGCAGGACGGGGGCGGCGCGGCACUGUGAGUCGUCUGCUACUUUCGCGGAGUGAAGCCGUGCAGCUGUUGCUGGAGAGCGCUGACCUUUCUUCCUUGACAAUUCGGCUGUCAAAGUACAACCCGUGAGUAGGUUUCACGCUAUAAGGAUUAACAAAAGUUCUGAACUAAUUUGGCUGAAGCGGGAACGGUGUAAAAAGGAAGUCCACCUCCCGGUCUGUAUAAAGAAUAAAGCAAAGACUGUGCGAGAUCGAUACCAAUGACUGCCAAAAGAGACUGAAACACAGACUUCUAAUUUAAAAUUUUCCCUCCCACAAUUGGAUUAGGGGGGGGAAGAAGAGAUAGUAUUUCUUGUUAUUCUCUGUUAUUUUUGAGUAAUUUAAAGAGCAAAUAAGGAAAUAAAAGACCACCUCUCAAUCCCUGGGGACAGACUGCCAGGUUUUGGAAAGAUUGGACACUUUGUUAGCACUCUAAAUGGACAAUGUAUCUUUUUGCCUUUUAACUUUACAAAAUUGAAACUUUGGGAAAAAGUUUGGGAAAAAGUUGCCUCUUUGGCUGUUUGAGAGUUUUCAUUCUUGAUACUUUAUUACUUGUGUCCCCCUGGAGGCCAAAGGGGAAAAAGUUUCUAAUUGACUGAGGAAUUUUCCACCUAACAGCAGCCUGGGAAAGUAUAAUAACAAAACAAUUUUGACUGUGAGAGCGACCUUGACUUUUAGAUAAAGUGCCAUGGAAGGAAGAGAUCUGAGGUCUGGGAAAGGCAGGCAGCAGAGCAACAUCCCACAACAGCAACAGCGUAGGCAAUCCAUCGCUGGACCACAAGGAGAGGAAGAAGGAUUGGCCAGUUUAUUUAAAAUUGUGAACGAAGGUUUUGAAAAAUUGGGUCAACAAAAUGCCGAGGCUCUAGAAGCCAUUAGACAAAAUUCUGCAAGUAUUGACAAGUUGACCCGACAGACUAAUGAAAAUACAGAUGUGAUUAAAAAACUACUGGAACAAUCUGCUGAAACUCAAAAACAGCUUUGGAAGCCAGAGAAAAGGCGGUAGCUGCUGAAGAAAAACUACCACCUUUAAUUAAACAAGUUCAAGAGCACCACAUAAGAUUGGGAACGCACCAGGAAUUGUUAUCUCUUCUUGAGUUAAAGGAGAAACAGACCAACUUAAGGAUCAGAGCAGUACCUGAGAUUGAAAAAGAGAGCCUGGCAGACUUUCUGACGCAAGAAUUUGCCAACUUUUGGCAAUUGAAUGAUAAGGAAGAUUUCAAGAUAACGUCUGCUUUUAGGCUCGGAAGAAGAGCAAGGAAAAAUAGAGUGAGAGACUGCCUGAUUACCCUGCGAUCAAAAGAGGAACGAGAUAAAAUUUUGAGCUUACAUUAUCAAAAUACACUGACAAUACAAGACUCAAGGAUAGAAAUAUUUAAAGACAUUCCAAAGCUUCUUUUGGAGCUUAGGUCUAACUAUCGAGACCUGGUGACGUUGCUGAGAGGAAACAGAAUUUUUUCAGGUGGGAGUUCCCUCAAGGCCUAUCUUUCAGUUUUAGAGGC